Molecule: long non-coding RNA, 634 nt
Filed under: Nicotiana benthamiana
Lineage: Eukaryota; Viridiplantae; Streptophyta; Magnoliopsida; Solanales; Solanaceae
Description: long non-coding RNA (NBEN_LNC009196)
Source: RNAcentral
AAAAAUUCACUUAGGCCAUUAAAUUACUGAUUCCUUCUAAACCCACUUUCAAACACCUUUAAAUUUAAUUAAUUAUGGUUCUUAACAUAUUUCAAUAACACCAAAAUAAAACAAGAGAAAGAAUCGUAGAUGAACCUAAAAUUACAGCUUUGAUUAAUUUUGAUGUCGAUAAAUUCGAAUAGAAACGAAAGAAACAGUGACAAUGAAUCUGCAACUGGAAAGAAAAAUAAACUCGAACCAGCAACUGAAGCAAAUCAACUCUCGGCUACAUCUCAGAGGCAGUCCACAGUUGAAAACCAAAAUGAAAAACUAAUAAUUUUUUUUGGAGUUUUCUGUUUUGGAAGUCGAAAGACUAAGCUAAAAGGAGUCUAAGCUUUUCGGGAAUUUUGCUAGGGUCUUUUUGUUGAAGAAGAAGGGUGCUCGCCGGUUGGGGUGUAUGGUUGUGUUUUCCUGGUAAUUUUCAAGUGAUUAAGAAGGUGGAUCAAGAAGAAGAAGCUUCUCUUUUUUUUUUUCUAUGGAAAAAAGGCGGAUCUAUGAAGAAGAAGAAGGGGAGGGGAUCCUUUUGAAAAGCUGCGCUCCUCAGCUCUUUUUUCUUUUCAAUUCUCCUAGCAUUAUUUUCUUCUUCCUUCUUUCG